This 274-nucleotide ribosomal RNA is filed under the name Pestalotiopsis microspora. RNAcentral's name for it is "partial 28S ribosomal RNA". It matches the Rfam family "Eukaryotic large subunit ribosomal RNA", at positions 1 to 274 of the family's 3401-position model. Lineage: Eukaryota; Fungi; Ascomycota; Sordariomycetes; Amphisphaeriales; Sporocadaceae. The record is from RNAcentral.
UUGACCUCGGAUCAGGUAGGAAUACCCSGCUGAACUUUAAGCAUAUCAUUAAGCGGAGGAAAAAGAAAACCAACAGGGAUUGGCCUUAAUAACGGCGAGUGAAGCGGGCAACAGCCUCCAAAUUUGAAAUCUGGCCCUUGGGUCCGAAUUUGUAAUUUUGUAAAGAUGAUUUUGGGUGCGGUAUCUUCCAAGUCCUUGGAACAGGACGCCUUAAAGGUGAAGCCCGAAGGUGGAUGCUAACCCGGAAUCCCUCCACAAUCAGUGUUGGGAUGAA